UGGGGAAUUUUGCGCAAUGGGCGAAAGCCUGACGCAGCAACGCCGCGUGAGUGAUGAAGGCUUUCGGGUCGUAAAGCUCUGUCAGGGGGAAAGAAGUGUAUUGUGGCUAAUAUCCACGAUACUUGACGGUACCCUCAAAG
Molecule: ribosomal RNA, 140 nt
Filed under: uncultured Geobacter sp.
Lineage: Bacteria; Pseudomonadati; Thermodesulfobacteriota; Desulfuromonadia; Geobacterales; Geobacteraceae
Description: partial 16S ribosomal RNA
Rfam family: Bacterial small subunit ribosomal RNA
Source: RNAcentral